CCUACGGGUGGCUGCAGUCGAGGAUCUUCGGCAAUGGGGGCAACCCUGACCGAGCGAUGCCGCGUGCGCGAUGAAGGCCCUCGGGUUGUAAAGCGCGAAAGUGGGGAGAAAGGCGAAAGCGUGAUCUAUCCACAGUAAGCUCGGGCUAAGUUCGUGCCAGCAGCCGCGGUAAGACGAACCGAGCGAACGUUGUUCGGAAUCACUGGGCUUAAAGGGCGCGUAGGCGGGCUGUCAAGUUUGGGGUGAAAUCCCGCGGCUCAACCGUGGAACUGCCU
RNAcentral lists this ribosomal RNA (275 nucleotides) under uncultured Gemmata sp. Its description in RNAcentral is "partial 16S ribosomal RNA". It matches the Rfam family "Bacterial small subunit ribosomal RNA", at positions 338 to 626 of the family's 1533-position model. Lineage: Bacteria; Pseudomonadati; Planctomycetota; Planctomycetia; Gemmatales; Gemmataceae. The record is from RNAcentral.